UUCCUCAUUUACAAUUCCAAAAUGAUUAAAUUGGCAAAUAUUGUGGAGGAGGACUUCAGUACUCUGACAGUGGCAAAAAGUAUUGAAUGUUAGACAAUUUAUAUGAAAGAGGUUUAAGAGGCUAAGAACUGAUGUGAUAUCUUUGUCGCCUUUGUGUUUCAGAUCAAUGGAGAAUUUCAAAGAACAACUACUGUACUUCUGGUACCGAAAUUUAUGUCUGUGUUAGACUGUCACACUCCCAAGCUACUGACGCCAUUUUGUGCCAAAGAUGGAGCACUUGGAAGAAGACUGGAGAUCAUAAUGGAAAUGCUGCAGUGAUUGACUUCCUCCCCAGCACUCUUCGAUUGAGAGGACCAGAGAGAUUGUUCUUUGGUAUCUUAGAAAAUACCUUGGAGAACAAGGGGGACAUCUUAUCAAAGAAUUCAACGACACUGAGAACUUGGAGGAACUUGAA
Carassius auratus (goldfish) is the source of this 454-nucleotide long non-coding RNA. RefSeq lists it as uncharacterized. The record is from RefSeq and is a predicted model, not a curated record. The transcript has 3 exons. NCBI's taxonomy places the organism in Eukaryota, Metazoa, Chordata, Actinopteri, Cypriniformes, Cyprinidae.